This 62-nucleotide transfer RNA is filed under the name Pseudantechinus macdonnellensis (fat-tailed pseudantechinus). RNAcentral describes it as "tRNA-Lys". Lineage: Eukaryota; Metazoa; Chordata; Mammalia; Dasyuromorphia; Dasyuridae. The record is from RNAcentral.
CAUCUUUGAGAAAUUAUCGUAAUACUUAAGUAUUGGCAGAGUUUAACAUCUCCUCAAAGCCU